This 597-nucleotide non-coding RNA is filed under the name Pan troglodytes (chimpanzee). The record is from RNAcentral. Lineage: Eukaryota; Metazoa; Chordata; Mammalia; Primates; Hominidae.
CCCUGCCUCUGUAUUCCCAUAGCCUGCUACAGACCUCCACGACAUCACAUGAAAGGUACCAGCUAAACAGAUGUGGGGUGAUUAACCAUCCACUCCAGGGAACACUUGUGGGAAGGUAUCCGUCAGUGGAGCAGGUUUGCAAAUACACGACACACGAGACUCGCCACUGGCCUUAAUGAAGCCUGCAUCAUUCAGUGCUGAAAGCAAACGAUGACGAGCUCCAUGAGGGCCAAGGCUGUCCAUUCCUGUUUACCACUGCACACUCAGGAGCUCAUGGCAUGCUGGCUGUGCUAGUUCUAUCCUCAACAGAAUAAUUGCUGACAAACUCUCUUGCCCAGAAAAUGUCUACUGGAAUUAUGGAGUACAAAAAAACUACAAAAGCAAUGAAAAAAAGAAGGAUGUUUUAUUUACAUCCUAUUUCAAAACCAUUGCUUUCUUGCUAUUGUAUGUCUCUGCAGGCCCAAUAUCGCGCAUCUUCAUAAGAAGUUUAGAAUUGUUCCUUAUGUUUCCUUCUAACAAACACUGGUGUUAAGUUUCAAGAAGUUGGUGAAAUGGAGACAGCCAAUCCAACCCAGGAGACAGUGUUUGAAAACAGGG